Molecule: long non-coding RNA, 392 nt
Organism: Thrips palmi
Lineage: Eukaryota; Metazoa; Arthropoda; Insecta; Thysanoptera; Thripidae
Exons: 3
Source: RefSeq, a predicted model, not a curated record
CCGCAGGCCAAGGUAGGUACGCCAGGCGCGGAUUGGAGAAACAGGCAGCGACACAUCGCGAAGCCUGUUACGACAAGACGCGGUCUGGCGUAAACCUACCUUGUGCUUACAAUUCAUCUGUCAUUGUUGAGUUUGAAAAUGCUGCUGCUGCAACCAAGUUUUGCAGCUUCAACACAGAAAAUAGAUUCAAAUACAGAAACAGCUCACUUGUUUGUGAGCAGCAGUUGCAACGAAAGAGCGCACCAAGGUCAUGCAAAGUUUUGUUUGAAAAUGUUGUGCCACCAUUCAGUGAGGUCACUCUGAGAAAAGGGUUGAAGGUUCUCCUGGACAAAACAUGUGAAUGGAAAUCCAGUGAUGAGGAACGCUUCAUGCUUUUCGAAGGCUAUGAUGCU